GUCUGACUUGGGUAUAGGGAUGAGACCAAUCGAACCAUCUAGUAGC
RNAcentral lists this ribosomal RNA (46 nucleotides) under Oryza sativa Japonica Group (Japanese rice). Its description in RNAcentral is "28S ribosomal RNA". Lineage: Eukaryota; Viridiplantae; Streptophyta; Magnoliopsida; Poales; Poaceae. The record is from RNAcentral.